RNAcentral lists this ribosomal RNA (253 nucleotides) under uncultured bacterium. RNAcentral describes it as "partial 16S ribosomal RNA". It matches the Rfam family "Bacterial small subunit ribosomal RNA", at positions 524 to 776 of the family's 1533-position model. The record is from RNAcentral.
UACGUAGGGGGCGAGCGUUGUCCGGAUUCAUUGGGCGUAAAGCGCGCGUAGGCGGCCCGGCAGGUCGGGGGUGAAAGCCCGGGGCCCAACCCCGGGACCGCCCCCGAAACCGCCGGGCUCGAGUCCCGCAGGGGAUGGCGGAACUCCCGGUGUAGCGGUGGAAUGCGCAGAUAUCGGGAGGAACACCGGUGGCGAAGGCGGCCAUCUGGGCGGGCACUGACGCUGAGGCGCGAGAGCCGGGGGAGCGAACAGG